CCUACGGGUGGCAGCAGUGAGGAAUAUUGGUCAAUGGCCGGAAGGCUGAACCAGCCAUGCCGCGUGAAGGUCAGUGCCCUAUGGGCGUUAAACUUCUUUUGUGCGGGAGCAAUAAUGGUCACGUGUGGCCAGACGAGAGUACCGUACGAAUAAGCAUCGGCUAACACCGUGCCAGCAGACGCGGUAAUACGGGGGAUGCAAGCGUUAUCCGGCUUUAUUGGGUUUAAAGGGUGCGUAGGGUGGGAGGUAAGUCAGCGGGGAAAAGCCCCAACGCAAAGGGGUGAAGUGCCAUUGAUACUGCGUUUCUGGAAUGCGGAUGAAGUGGGAGGAAUGUGUGGUGUAGCGGUGAAAUGCAUAGAUAUCACGCAGAACACCGAUUGCGAAGGCAUCUCACGAACCCGCGACUGACGCUGAUGCACGAAAGCGUGGGUAUCAAACAGGAUUAGAUACCCUAGUAGUC
This 460-nucleotide ribosomal RNA is filed under the name uncultured bacterium. RNAcentral's name for it is "partial 16S ribosomal RNA". It matches the Rfam family "Bacterial small subunit ribosomal RNA", at positions 338 to 795 of the family's 1533-position model. The record is from RNAcentral.